GAAACGACUCUCGGCAACGGAUAUCUCGGCUCUUGUUUCGAUGAAGAACGUAGCGAAAUGCGAUACUUAGUGUGAAUUGCAGAAUCCCGUGAAUCAUCGAGUUUUUGAACGCAAUUUGCGCCCGAGGCCUCGGUCGAGGGCACGUCUGUCUGGGCGUCGCAU
This 162-nucleotide ribosomal RNA is filed under the name Pinus attenuata. Its description in RNAcentral is "5.8S ribosomal RNA". It matches the Rfam family "5.8S ribosomal RNA". From Rfam's summary of the family: 5.8S ribosomal RNA (5.8S rRNA) is a component of the large subunit of the eukaryotic ribosome. It is transcribed by RNA polymerase I as part of the 45S precursor that also contains 18S and 28S rRNA. The record is from RNAcentral. Lineage: Eukaryota; Viridiplantae; Streptophyta; Pinopsida; Pinales; Pinaceae.